This 461-nucleotide ribosomal RNA is filed under the name Zhangixalus dorsoviridis (green-back treefrog). RNAcentral's name for it is "partial 16S ribosomal RNA". It matches the Rfam family "Bacterial large subunit ribosomal RNA", at positions 1968 to 2597 of the family's 2925-position model. Lineage: Eukaryota; Metazoa; Chordata; Amphibia; Anura; Rhacophoridae. The record is from RNAcentral.
CUUGUUCUUUAAAUAAGGACUAGUAUCAACGGCAUCACGAGGGUUACACUGUCUCCUUUCUCCAAUCAGUGAAACUGAUCUUCCCGUGAAGAAGCGGGAAUACAACUAUAAGACGAGAAGACCCCAUGGAGCUUUAAAUUUUACAGCAACUUAGUCAAACAUGCCCAUAUAAUCUACAAAGCUAUGCCUACCAAUUUUAGGUUGGGGUGACCGCGGAGUAAAAAUUAACCUCCACAACGAAAAGAACUAAAUCUUUAUCUAAGAGCUACAACUCUAAGAAUUAGUAUACUAACGACAAUGACCCGAUAAUCGAUCAACGGACCAAGUUACCCUGGGGAUAACAGCGCAAUCUACUUCGAGAGUUCAUAUCGACAAGUAGGCUUACGACCUCGAUGUUGGAUCAGGGUAUCCCAGUGGUGCAGCCGCUACUAAUGGUUCGUUUGUUCAACGAUUAAAACCCU